This 1308-nucleotide long non-coding RNA is filed under the name Heterocephalus glaber (naked mole-rat). Its description in RNAcentral is "lncRNA (ENSHGLG00000047846.1)". The record is from RNAcentral. Lineage: Eukaryota; Metazoa; Chordata; Mammalia; Rodentia; Bathyergidae.
GGCCGGGGGCGGGGCCAGCUGGACCAGGGGCCUCUGGACCCCUGGCCAGCCCCGGCCGACUAGGUGGGCCUCGUGAUCGGAUCCUCGGUGUGGCCUCGUGGCCACCAGGAAUCCCAGUGCUGGACGCGCCCCAGGAGACCAGCGCCUCUCCCGACUGGAGAACGCUGGAGGGUCCUGCCAGGUGAGAAGCCAAAGUCCAGAGGUCACGUGACGAGGCCAUCUUGUGGGAAGUUGGGAGCCAGGCUUCCAGGCCCGGCCUGCCACAGCGCACGCCUCUCCCGUUUAGGAGAGGACCACGGGAUGACAGGGAGACGCGUGUGAGGAGCACAGCCAGCCUCGUCUGCUGCAGACCCCGGGGCGAGGGGCGCUGGUACCGGACCCCUCCCUCUGGCCCUGAAAACCACAAAGAGGGCCCGAGAGUGAGGGGCAGGAAAGGGGAAAUCAUGGGGAGUGAGGACUGCCGACAGACCUCAGAGCAGGAAGUGUUGCCACGCCUGGAGUUAGAUCAUUUUUGGAGGGCGAGGGGACUUCAUCCCUCCUCGCCAAGGGCCCCUCCUCCGCAGAAAGCCGAAGGGUGGGCAGUGACAACUGAAAGCACGCGGGAGGAGGCAGACAAUCGGAAAGACAGGCCUUUGGGUCCCCGAAAGCCACAGUAGGAGUAGGUGUGAACGAGACAAGAGGUAGGAAAAGAAGAGGUCGUUUAUUCCUUUGCCCUGAGGGGAGGGGCCGUGGACUAAGCCAAUAGAAAGAGGGAUGAAGCAUCUGCCCCUGUCGUGCACGGUGCUGGCUCCAACCCAUUCUUCCUCCACUAGAGCUUUGUACUCAGCAAACACCCCCCACCCCCUACCCCAGUCAGCCAGGAAGGGCAGAGGGACACAUCUGCUGAUGGGAAGACAUCUUUUAGAUGCGAGCCGCCGUUCUGAGCACUUUACGCACGCAUUAGCUCAGUGCUCAUAACAGGCACGAGGUGGGCAACAGUACACCUUCAUUUUACGAACCCGGAAACUGAGGCCCAGAGCGCUGUCUUGCUCUGCUACAGGUCACAGUAAGCAGCGGCGGGUGGAUGCCCUGAGCCUGCGGCUUCUCUCCAGACCUGUGGACCACCUGUGACCUUGACCCGCGCCUCCCGGGCCUGCGCCUCAGUCUGCGCCUCUGUAAAGCGAGAAGAUUGGGCCGAUGCUCCCCCAGAUCCCUUCCAGACGCAAAGGCAAAGACGAGGCGUGCGGGUCCUCCCCGCGCCACCGCGGCCCACUCACCCCUCAGCCCACGGCCCUCAGCCAGCCCCACGCAGGGCCUCGCGCGCUCGCC